CCUCGGGAGGCAGCAGUGAGGAAUAUUGGUCAAUGGCCGAGAGGCUGAACCAGCCAAGUCGCGUGAGGGAUGACGGCCCUACGGGUUGUAAACCUCUUUUGUCGGGGAGCAAAGAGAGUCACGUGUGGCUCAUUGAGAGUACCCGAAGAAAAAGCAUCGGCUAACUCCGUGCCAGCAGCCGCGGUAAUACGUAGGUGGCAAGCGUUGUCCGGAAUUACUGGGUGUAAAGGGAGCGCAGGCGGGAAGCCAAGUCAGCUGUGAAAACUACAGGCUUAACUUGUAGACCGCACUUAAAAC
This 297-nucleotide ribosomal RNA is filed under the name uncultured bacterium. RNAcentral describes it as "partial 16S ribosomal RNA". It matches the Rfam family "Bacterial small subunit ribosomal RNA", at positions 339 to 633 of the family's 1533-position model. The record is from RNAcentral.